This 738-nucleotide long non-coding RNA is filed under the name Otus sunia (Oriental scops-owl). RNAcentral describes it as "lncRNA (ENSOSUG00000005478.1)". Lineage: Eukaryota; Metazoa; Chordata; Aves; Strigiformes; Strigidae. The record is from RNAcentral.
CCCAGGCAGGCAAAUCGCUCCUCACCCUCCUGUCCCUCCCGGGAUGGACAGAGCCUCAGCGGGGCUGCAGAGCCACAAGCCGCCGAGAAGAUGCUGGCUCCGUCCGUCCAUCCGCUCCUCUGGCUGCUCGGCUGCAUGCUGUUCCAAGGUACUACAACCUCCACCUCUGUCAGCACUGUAACAGGUCAAUCCCAAUCAACAACACAAAGCCCUGAAGUAAAGAACAAUAUCUCAGAGCCUUUAGUAAACUCAACACCACCAACCAACUUGAGUCUCACCUCUGUGGGUCAAGCUACUACAGCCAAAUCCUCUUCCAUCACUACAAAACUGCUAGAGCCAACUGCACAAGAUGAUAAGACUAGUGGAAGCAGAAGCACAGCAGCUUCAUCAUCUCAAGGUCAAGAGCCCAAGAGAAGUGAGAGUACCACAACACCAGCAACUCAAGGUGCUUCCUCCUUUCUCAGAGACAUGGUUAUCACUAGAUGCUUUACAGCCCUUUUCACAGCCAACAGCAAGGCCAACAUACUGCUAUCUUCAAGGCAGCAUGGUGAACGGCCAAUGCUGGCCAUCCCAUCUAGCCCUUGAAAAGCCUGUAAAGCUCCACAGAAGGAGCACAUUGAAGCAACCUGUUGAGCCUGGGAACAGUGGUUGUGAGUCACAGCAGGAAAGGUGACACUAUGGCAAAAGGCUGUAAAAUGAGGAAGACGGGACAAGCCUCCCCCUCCGAUACACUGCCAG